This 497-nucleotide ribosomal RNA is filed under the name uncultured bacterium. RNAcentral's name for it is "partial 16S ribosomal RNA". It matches the Rfam family "Bacterial small subunit ribosomal RNA", at positions 28 to 507 of the family's 1533-position model. The record is from RNAcentral.
GAUGAACGCUGGCGGCGUGCCUAAUACAUGCAAGUCGAGCGAACAGACGAGGAGCUUGCUCCUCUGACGUUAGCGGCGGACGGGUGAGUAACACGUGGAUAACCUACCUAUAAGACUGGGAUAACUUCGGGAAACCGGAGCUAAUACCGGAUAAUAUAUUGAACCGCAUGGUUCAAUAGUGAAAGACGGUUUUGCUGUCACUUAUAGAUGGAUCCGCGCCGCAUUAGCUAGUUGGUAAGGUAACGGCUUACCAAGGCAACGAUGCGUAGCCGACCUGAGAGGGUGAUAGGCCACACUGGAACUGAGACACGGUCCAGACUCCUAAGGGAGGCAGCAGUAGGGAAUCUUCCGCAAUGGGCGAAAGCAUGACGGAGCAACGCCGCGUGAGUGAUGAAGGUCUUCGGAUCGUAAAACUCUGUUAUUAGGGAAGAACAAAUGUGUAAGUAACUAUGCACGUCUUGACGGUACCUAAUCAGAAAGCCACGGCUAACUACGUG